Molecule: ribosomal RNA, 1275 nt
Filed under: Lactiplantibacillus pentosus
Lineage: Bacteria; Bacillati; Bacillota; Bacilli; Lactobacillales; Lactobacillaceae
Description: bacterial SSU rRNA
Source: RNAcentral
UGAGUGGCGAACUGGUGAGUAACACGUGGGAAACCUGCCCAGAAGCGGGGGAUAACACCUGGAAACAGAUGCUAAUACCGCAUAACAACUUGGACCGCAUGGUCCGAGUUUGAAAGAUGGCUUCGGCUAUCACUUUUGGAUGGUCCCGCGGCGUAUUAGCUAGAUGGUGRGGUAACGGCUCACCAUGGCAAUGAUACGUAGCCGACCUGAGAGGGUAAUCGGCCACAUUGGGACUGAGACACGGCCCAAACUCCUACGGGAGGCAGCAGUAGGGAAUCUUCCACAAUGGACGAAAGUCUGAUGGAGCAACGCCGCGUGAGUGAAGAAGGGUUUCGGCUCGUAAAACUCUGUUGUUAAAGAAGAACAUAUCUGAGAGUAACUGUUCAGGUAUUGACGGUAUUUAACCAGAAAGCCACGGCUAACUACGUGCCAGCAGCCGCGGUAAUACGUAGGUGGCAAGCGUUGUCCGGAUUUAUUGGGCGUAAAGCGAGCGCAGGCGGUUUUUUAAGUCUGAUGUGAAAGCCUUCGGCUCAACCGAAGAAGUGCAUCGGAAACUGGGAAACUUGAGUGCAGAAGAGGACAGUGGAACUCCAUGUGUAGCGGUGAAAUGCGUAGAUAUAUGGAAGAACACCAGUGGCGAAGGCGGCUGUCUGGUCUGUAACUGACGCUGAGGCUCGAAAGUAUGGGUAGCAAACAGGAUUAGAUACCCUGGUAGUCCAUACCGUAAACGAUGAAUGCUAAGUGUUGGAGGGUUUCCGCCCUUCAGUGCUGCAGCUAACGCAUUAAGCAUUCCGCCUGGGGAGUACGGCCGCAAGGCUGAAACUCAAAGGAAUUGACGGGGGCCCGCACAAGCGGUGGAGCAUGUGGUUUAAUUCGAAGCUACGCGAAGAACCUUACCAGGUCUUGACAUACUAUGCAAAUCUAAGAGAUUAGACGUUCCCUUCGGGGACAUGGAUACAGGUGGUGCAUGGUUGUCGUCAGCUCGUGUCGUGAGAUGUUGGGUUAAGUCCCGCAACGAGCGCAACCCUUAUUAUCAGUUGCCAGCAUUAAGUUGGGCACUCUGGUGAGACUGCCGGUGACAAACCGGAGGAAGGUGGGGAUGACGUCAAAUCAUCAUGCCCCUUAUGACCUGGGCUACACACGUGCUACAAUGGAUGGUACAACGAGUUGCGAACUCGCGAGAGUAAGCUAAUCUCUUAAAGCCAUUCUCAGUUCGGAUUGUAGGCUGCAACUCGCCUACAUGAAGUCGGAAUCGCUAGUAAUCGCGGAUCAGCA